This 484-nucleotide ribosomal RNA is filed under the name uncultured bacterium. Its description in RNAcentral is "bacterial SSU rRNA". It matches the Rfam family "Bacterial small subunit ribosomal RNA", at positions 28 to 509 of the family's 1533-position model. The record is from RNAcentral.
GAUGAACGCUAGCGGCAGGCCUAAUACAUGCAAGUCGAACGGUAUUCAGAUGCUUGCAUUUGAAGAGAGUGGCGCACGGGUGCGUAACGCGUAUGAAACCUACCUUUAACAGGGGGAUAGCCUCUCGAAAGAGAGAUUAAUACCGCAUAAUAUCGGGAGUGGGCAUCCACAUUCGAUUAAAUAUUUAUAGGUUAAAGAUGGUCAUGCGUGACAUUAGCUAGUUGGAGAGGUAAUGGCUCACCAAGGCGACGAUGUCUAGGGGAUCUGAGAGGAUGGCCCCCCACACUGGUACUGAGACACGGACCAGACUCCUACGGGAGGCAGCAGUAAGGAAUAUUGGUCAAUGGACGGAAGUCUGAACCAGCCAUGCCGCGUGCAAGAAGAAGGCCCUACGGGUUGUAAAUUGCUUUUAAUCGAGAAUAACAGUAACUACGUGUAGUUGUAUGAAAGUAUCGAUAGAAUAAGGAUCGGCUAACUCCGUGCC